This 1009-nucleotide ribosomal RNA is filed under the name human metagenome. Its description in RNAcentral is "bacterial LSU rRNA". It matches the Rfam family "Bacterial large subunit ribosomal RNA", at positions 1922 to 2925 of the family's 2925-position model. The record is from RNAcentral.
AGUAAACGGCGGCCGUAACUAUAACGGUCCUAAGGUAGCGAAAUUCCUUGUCGGGCAAGUUCCGACCUGCACGAAUGGCAUAAUGAUGGCCACACUGUCUCCUCCUGAGACUCAGUGAAGUUGAAAUGUUUGUGAUGAUGCAAUCUCCCCGCGGCUAGACGGAAAGACCCCAUGAACCUUUACUGCAGCUUUGCAUUGGACUUUGAACCGAUCUGUGUAGGAUAGGUGGGAGGCAGUGAAGCUAGGACGCCAGUCUUAGCGGAGCCAACCUUGAAAUACCACCCUGAUUUGUUUGAGGUUCUAACCUAGGAGCGUAAUCCGCUUCGGGGACCGUGCAUGGCAGGCAGUUUGACUGGGGCGGUCUCCUCCUAAAGGGUAACGGAGGAGUGCGAAGGUACGCUAGGUACGGUCGGAAAUCGUGCUGAUAGUGCAAUGGCAAAAGCGUGCUUGACUGCGAGACCGACAAGUCGAGCAGAUACGAAAGUAGGUCAUAGUGAUCCGGUGGCUCUGCAUGGAAGGGCCAUCGCUCAACGGAUAAAAGGUACUCUGGGGAUAACAGGCUGAUACCGCCCAAGAGUUCAUAUCGACGGCGGUGUUUGGCACCUCGAUGUCGGCUCAUCUCAUCCUGGGGCUGUAGCCGGUCCCAAGGGUAUGGCUGUUCGCCAUUUAAAGAGGUACGUGAGCUGGGUUUAAAACGUCGUGAGACAGUUUUGUCCCUAUCUGCCGUGGGCGUUGGAAGAUUGACGGGGGCUGCUCCUAGUACGAGAGGACCGGAGUGGACUCACCUCUGGUGUACCGGUUGUCACGCCAGUGGCAUCGCCGGGUAGCUAUGUGGGGAAAGGAUAACCGCUGAAAGCAUCUAAGCGGGAAACCUGCCUGAAGAUAAGUCUUCCUGGAGGCUUUGACCUCCCUGAAGAGUCGUUCGAGACCAGGACGUUGAUAGGUUGGAUGUGCAAGCGCUGUGAGGCGUUGAGCUGACCAAUACUAAUUGCUCGUGAAGCUUGAUCCU